GCCGGGGAUCCGGCGGAGGGACUGCAGCAGUGCUCGGUGGGGGCGGGGGCUGCAAUGUCGCUCAUUUGGGGGUCAGGUGUGUGCAUCCCAGCCAGGGUCUGCUGCCAGUCAGCACCUUCCCCAUAUCACCCAGGGCCUAAGGGCGGAGGCGGAGGGCAGGGGACUGCGGAGCUGUCCCUGGAGCGGGACGCGAACCGGCAGAGUUGGGAGAAGAGCCUCUGAGCCCAGGAGCCGAGCAUGCUGCCCCCGCGUGCGGCGCCCGCGUGCACCCAGCCCGGAGAGGGGGCGCCGGGCGGAGGCGGUGGCCCCCGGAAGGUGUCUGGGACCGGACCGGCUGCACGUGAGCCCAGCGCCGGGUCAUGUGCACCAGCUCAGCCCGGUUCGGCGGCUGGACGUGCUGCGUAUCAACAAAAUGAAACUCAGGAGGGCAGAUAGCUCCAGGUUCUCCGAAUCCCCAAUCCCGGACGCUCGGCCUCCCCCCGCUCCCCUCUCCAGCCGCAGCCCCUCCAACCGGCCGGAGCCCGCGGGGCAAGUUGCAACCUCCGCGCGCCCCCGCCCUCCCGCGCCCCCUCGCCGGCCCAGGGGCGCUUUGCCGCAGUCAUUAAUAAAGAAGGUCGCCAGGCUCACCCUUCCAAAA
Marmota monax (woodchuck) is the source of this 637-nucleotide long non-coding RNA. RefSeq lists it as uncharacterized. The record is from RefSeq and is a predicted model, not a curated record. The transcript is spliced from 2 exons. NCBI's taxonomy places the organism in Eukaryota, Metazoa, Chordata, Mammalia, Rodentia, Sciuridae.